ACAGCCUCGACCACUUCCCCAUAAGUUCUGAAAUAUUCCUUCAGACGAUCUUCAUUUGUAUCCCAAGAAAUUCCACCGAUGAAGAGCUUGCCAAGAUCCGAUUCCAUUUUCUGCAAUCCUAAACGAAAGUUUCUUAUCUAAGAAAGCAC
This is a long non-coding RNA of Telopea speciosissima, 149 nucleotides long. RefSeq lists it as uncharacterized. NCBI's taxonomy places the organism in Eukaryota, Viridiplantae, Streptophyta, Magnoliopsida, Proteales, Proteaceae. The transcript has 3 exons. The record is from RefSeq and is a predicted model, not a curated record.